Molecule: ribosomal RNA, 1315 nt
Filed under: Kribbella sp.
Lineage: Bacteria; Bacillati; Actinomycetota; Actinomycetes; Propionibacteriales; Kribbellaceae
Description: bacterial SSU rRNA
Rfam family: Bacterial small subunit ribosomal RNA
Source: RNAcentral
CGAGCGGCGAACGGGUGAGUAACACGUGAGCAACCUACCCUCAACUUCGGGAUAAGCCUCGGAAACGGGGUCUAAUACCGGAUAUCACCAGCUUCCUCAUGGUUGUUGGUUGAAAGUUCUGGCGGUUGGGGAUGGGCUCGCGGCCUAUCAGCUUGUUGGUGGGGUAAUGGCCUACCAAGGCGUCGACGGGUAGCCGGCCUGAGAGGGCGACCGGCCACACUGGGACUGAGACACGGCCCAGACUCCUACGGGAGGCAGCAGUGGGGAAUAUUGCGCAAUGGACGAAAGUCUGACGCAGCAACGCCGCGUGAGGGAUGACGGCCUUCGGGUUGUAAACCUCUUUCAGCAGGGACGAAGCGAGAGUGACGGUACCUGCAGAAGAAGGACCGGCCAACUACGUGCCAGCAGCCGCGGUAAUACGUAGGGUCCGAGCGUUGUCCGGAAUUAUUGGGCGUAAAGGGCUCGUAGGCGGUUCGUCACGUCGGGAGUGAAAACUCGGAGCUCAACUCCGAGCCUGCUUCCGAUACGGGCAGACUAGAGGUAGGCAGGGGAGAGCGGAACUCCUGGUGUAGCGGUGGAAUGCGCAGAUAUCAGGAAGAACACCGGUGGCGAAGGCGGCUCUCUGGGCCUUACCUGACGCUGAGGAGCGAAAGCGUGGGUAGCGAACAGGAUUAGAUACCCUGGUAGUCCACGCCGUAAACGUUGGGCGCUAGGUGUGGGGGACAUUCCACGUCCUCCGUGCCGCAGCUAACGCAUUAAGCGCCCCGCCUGGGGAGUACGGCCGCAAGGCUAAAACUCAAAGGAAUUGACGGGGGCCCGCACAAGCGGCGGAGCAUGCGGAUUAAUUCGAUGCAACGCGAAGAACCUUACCUGGGUUUGACAUAUAGGGAAAUCCUCCAGAGAUGGGGGGUCCGUAAGGGUCCUAUACAGGUGGUGCAUGGCUGUCGUCAGCUCGUGUCGUGAGAUGUUGGGUUAAGUCCCGCAACGAGCGCAACCCUCGUCCUAUGUUGCCAGCACGUUAUGGUGGGGACUCAUAGGAGACUGCCGGGGUCAACUCGGAGGAAGGUGGGGAUGACGUCAAGUCAUCAUGCCCCUUAUGUCCAGGGCUUCACGCAUGCUACAAUGGCCGGUACAAAGGGCUGCGAAACCGUAAGGUGGAGCGAAUCCCAAAAAGCCGGUCUCAGUUCGGAUUGGGGUCUGCAACUCGACCCCAUGAAGUCGGAGUCGCUAGUAAUCGCAGAUCAGCAACGCUGCGGUGAAUACGUUCCCGGGCCUUGUACACACCGCCCGUCACGUCAUGAAAGUCGGCAACACC